UGCUCCCUGAUGUUAGCGGCGGACGGGUGAGUAACACGUGGGUAACCUGCCUGUAAGACUGGGAUAACUCCGGGAAACCGGGGCUAAUACCGGAUGGUUGUCUGAACCGCAUGGUUCAGACAUAAAAGGUGGCUUCGGCUACCACUUACAGAUGGACCCGCGGCGCAUUAGCUAGUUGGUGAGGUAACGGCUCACCAAGGCGACGAUGCGUAGCCGACCUGAGAGGGUGAUCGGCCACACUGGGACUGAGACACGGCCCAGACUCCUACGGGAGGCAGCAGUAGGGAAUCUUCCGCAAUGGACGAAAGUCUGACGGAGCAACGCCGCGUGAGUGAUGAAGGUUUUCGGAUCGUAAAGCUCUGUUGUUAGGGAAGAACAAGUGCCGUUCAAAUAGGGCGGCACCUUGACGGUACCUAACCAGAAAGCCACGGCUAACUACGUACCAGCAGCCGCGGUAAUACGUAGGUGGCAAGCGUUGUCCGGAAUUAUUGGGCGUAAAGGGCUCGCAGGCGGUUUCUUAAGUCUGAUGUGAAAGCCCCCGGCUCAACCGGGGAGGGUCAUUGGAAACUGGGGAACUUGAGUGCAGAAGAGGAGAGUGGA
This 600-nucleotide ribosomal RNA is filed under the name uncultured bacterium. RNAcentral's name for it is "bacterial SSU rRNA". It matches the Rfam family "Bacterial small subunit ribosomal RNA", at positions 80 to 665 of the family's 1533-position model. The record is from RNAcentral.